CUACGGGUCGCAGCAGUAGGGAAUCUUAGACAAUGGGGGAAACCCUGAUCUAGCCAUGCCGCGUGAGUGAUGAAGGCCUUAGGGUUGUAAAGCUCUUUCGCUGGGGAAGAUAAUGACGGUACCCAGUAAAGAAACCCCGGCUAACUCCGUGCCAGCAGCCGCGGUAAUACGGAGGGGGUUAGCGUUGUUCGGAAUUACUGGGCGUAAAGCGCGCGUAGGCGGGCUAUUAAGGCAGGGGUGAAAUCCCGGGGCUCAACCCCGGAACUGCCUUUGAUACUGGUAGUCUUGAGUUCGAGAGAGGUGAGUGGAAUUCCGAGUGUAGAGGUGAAAUUCGUAGAUAUUCGGAGGAACAUCAGUGGCGAAGGCGACUCACUGGCUCGAUACUGACGCUGAGGUGCGAAAGUGUGGGGAGCAAACAGGAUUAGAUACCCUGGUAGUC
RNAcentral lists this ribosomal RNA (439 nucleotides) under uncultured bacterium. RNAcentral describes it as "partial 16S ribosomal RNA". It matches the Rfam family "Bacterial small subunit ribosomal RNA", at positions 339 to 795 of the family's 1533-position model. The record is from RNAcentral.